UACGGGGGGGGCAAGCGUUGUUCGGAAUUACUGGGCGUAAAGGGCUCGUAGGCGGCCAACUAAGUCAGACGUGAAAUCCCCAGGCUCAACCUGGGAACUGCGUCUGAUACUGGAUGGCUUGAAUUCGGGAGAGGGAUGCAGAAUUCCAGGUGUAGCGGUGAAAUGCGUAGAUAUCUGGAGGAACACCGGUGGCGAAGGCGGCAUCCUGGACCAACACUGACGCUGAGUGAGCGAAAGCCAGGGGAGCAAACGGG
Molecule: ribosomal RNA, 254 nt
Filed under: uncultured bacterium
Lineage: Bacteria
Description: partial 16S ribosomal RNA
Rfam family: Bacterial small subunit ribosomal RNA
Source: RNAcentral